Molecule: ribosomal RNA, 1943 nt
Filed under: Candidatus Obscuribacterales bacterium
Lineage: Bacteria; Bacillati; Candidatus Melainabacteria; Candidatus Obscuribacterales
Description: partial 23S ribosomal RNA
Rfam family: Bacterial large subunit ribosomal RNA
Source: RNAcentral
GGUUAAGCUACAAAGAGCGCAUGGUGGAUACCUGGGCGCGAGCAGCCGAUGAAAGACGCAUGACACAGCGAAAUUCCACGAGGAGUCGGUCAAGACUAAGAUCCGUGGGUAUCUGAAUGGGGCAACCCCACCGAGUCAUGUCGGUGACGCCAAACUGAAUUCAUAGGUUUGAGCGAGGCAAGUCAGGGAACUGAAACAUCUUAGUACCUGGAAGAAAGUAAAACAAAACAGUGACUCCCUUAGUAGCGGCGAGUGAAAGGGGAAUAGGCCAAACCAGCAAAACGAAAGUUUCGCUGGGGUAGCGGGACUCUAUACGGGAUUGUAAGUGGUUAGUUGAAGAGCCUGGAAAGGCGCACCAAAGACGGUGAUAGUCCGGUAAGCGAAAACCAUGAACACCUAAGAGUAUCCCAAGUAGUGCGGGGCACGUGAAACCUUGCAUGAAUCAGCCGGGACCAUCCGGUAAGCCUAAGUACUGCUCGUGACCGAUAGCGUACAAGUACUGCGAAGGAAAGGUGAAAAGAACCCCGGGCAGGGGAGUGAAAUAGAAUAUGAAACCGUGUGCUUACAAGCAAUCGAAGCACUAUUAGAUAGUGUGACGGUGUGCCUGUUGAAGAAUGAGCCGGCGAGUUACCGUAUGUUGUAGGUUAAGCGAUUAAUACGCGAAGCCAUAGAGAAAUCGAGUCUGAUAAGGGCGACAACAUAGCAUGCGGUAGACCCGAACCCGGGUGAUCUAGGCAUGGCCAGGAUGAAGCGUGUGUAAAAAUGCGUAGAGGUCCGAACCAACCGAUGUUGAAAAAUCGGUGGAUGAGCUGUGUUUAGGGGUGAAAUGCCAAUCGAACCCGGAGCUAGCUGGUUCUCCCCGAAAGGCGUUGAGGCACCGCGUCAGGUUUAUCUUAUAGGGGGUAGAGCACUAGUUCGGUGCGGGCGGAGAAAAUCCGUACCAAAUCGAGUUAAACUCCGAAUACCUAUAACGUCAUUACCUGGCAGUGAGACUGCGAGAGAUAAGUUCCGUAGUCAAGAGGGAAACAGCCCAGACCGCCGACUAAGGACCCAAAAUGCAUGCUAAGUGAUUAAGGAGGUGGAGUUGCAUAGACAACCAGGAUGUUGGCUUAGAAGCAGCCACCAUUUAAAGAAAGCGUAAUAGCUCACUGGUCAAGCGACUCUGCGCCGAAAACGUACGGGGCUAAGCAUGCUUCCGAAAUCGCGGGAUCAGAUUUAUCUGAUCGGUAGGGGAGCGUUGUGUUGUAGGCAGAAGGUAGAGCGAAAGCACUACUGGACGAACCACAAGUGAGACUGUCGGCUUAAGUAGCGAAAACAUUGGUGAGAAUCCAAUGCACCGAAAGACUAAGGGUUCCUGCACAAGGCUCGUCCAUGCAGGGUUAGGCGGGAGCUAAGGCGAGGCCGAGAGGCGUAGCCGAUGCACAGAAUGUUAAUAUUCAUUCCCCACACGUUAAUCGUUAGGAGCUAAGUCGGGACGCAGGAGGCUAUGCGAUGGGGGCCAAUGGAUAUGGUCUCCUCCAAAGGCGUAGUUAGUCAGAGUUGGCAAAUCCGCUCUGGCGUUAAGACACGAGGCCAAGUAAGCAAGAUCCCACGGGAUCAAGAUCGUAGAUGCCAUGCUGCCGAGAAAAGCGGCGAAAGCCAGAUUAACGGGUGCUCGUACCCGAAACCGACACAGGUAGUCAGGUAGAGUAUACCAAGGUGCGCGAGAUAACUCUCUCUAAGGAACUCGGCAAAUUGACCUCGUAACUUCGGAAGAAGAGGUGCCAUGUUAGGGUGUAAGUCCAUGCGACUGAAGCCUGAGAUGGUUGCAAAAACCAGGCUCAAGCGACUGUUUAACAAAAACACAGGUCUCUGCAAAACCGUAAGGUGAAGUAUAGGGGCUGACGCGUGCCCAGUGCCGGAAGGUUAAGUGGAUCGGUUAGCGCAAGCGAAGCUGAAAAACA